RNAcentral lists this unclassified non-coding RNA (372 nucleotides) under uncultured bacterium. RNAcentral describes it as "contains 16S-23S intergenic spacer region". The record is from RNAcentral.
UCCGGUUUGUCACCGGCAGUCCCAUUAGAGUGCCCAACUAAAUGCUGGCAACUAGAGGCAAGGGUUGCGCUCGUUGCGGGACUUAACCCAACAUCUCACGGCACGAGCUGACGACAGCCAUGCACCACCUGUGCGGGCUCCGAAGAGCGCCGUGUUUCCACGGUUCCACCCCGCAUGUCAAGCCCAGGUAAGGUUCUUCGCGUCGCAUCGAAUUAAGCCACAUGCUCCACCGCUUGUGCAGGCCCCCGUCAAUUUCUUUGAGUUUUAACCUUGCGGCCGUACUCCCCAGGCGGAUGACUUAACGCGUUAGCUGCGCCACCGAAACGCUAAGCGCCCCGACAGCUAGUCAUCAUCGUUUACGGCGUGGACUAC